GAUGAACGCUGGCGGCGUGCCUAAUACAUGCAAGUCGAACGAAACUUCUUUAUCACCGAGUGCUUGCACUCACCGAUAAAGAGUUGAGUGGCGAACGGGUGAGUAACACGUGGGCAACCUGCCCAAAAGAGGGGGAUAACACUUGGAAACAGGUGCUAAUACCGCAUAACCAUAGUUACCGCAUGGUAACUAUGUAAAAGGUGGCUAUACUACCGCUUUUGGAUGGGCCCGCGGCGCAUUAGCUAGUUGGUAGGGUAAAGGCUUACCAAGGCAAUGAUGCGUAGCCGAAUUGAGAGGUUGAUUGGCCACAUUGGGACUGAGACACGGCCCAAACUCCUACGGGAGGCAGCAGUAGGGAAUCUUCCACAAUGGGCGAAAGCCUGAUGGAGCAACGCCGCGUGGGUGAAGAAGGUCUUCGGAUCGUAAAACCCUGUUGUUAGAGAAGAAAGUGCGUGAGAGUAACUGUUCACGUUUCGACGGUAUCUAACCAGAAAGCCACUGCUAACUACGUG
This 512-nucleotide ribosomal RNA is filed under the name uncultured bacterium. RNAcentral's name for it is "partial 16S ribosomal RNA". It matches the Rfam family "Bacterial small subunit ribosomal RNA", at positions 28 to 507 of the family's 1533-position model. The record is from RNAcentral.